Molecule: long non-coding RNA, 398 nt
Organism: Mus caroli (Ryukyu mouse)
Lineage: Eukaryota; Metazoa; Chordata; Mammalia; Rodentia; Muridae
Source: RefSeq, a predicted model, not a curated record
GAUGGUCUCCUUCUGUUUGAGGACUAGCUGGAUCAGCUCAUCGUGGGUCAGCUGUGUUAAAACACACGCCACCACACCCGGCUUAGAAAGCCACUUUCCACAAAGGAUGAAACCAGGCGGCUGACGAGAAGAGAGAAGGACUUUGGAGUCUGUAGAGUAGGGCUUAAACUCAGGGUUUUGGCCAUGGCAAGCAAGAGCUCUCUACCACUGAGCUACAGCCCCUCGAGACGCUCCAGGUGUGACUUCCAAAACUGGAUUCAAACCUGGCAGGAUGGUGCACACCUGUAAUCCCAGCGCUAAGGAGAGGAAGGCAAGGAGAUCUUGAGUUGGAGCCUGUAUCAUGAAGCAAGCUCUAGGCAAGCCUGGGCUACAGUGAGACAGUAUCUCAAAAAACAAAC